CCUACGGGUGGCAGCAGUGAGGAAUAUUGGUCAAUGGGCGAGAGCCUGAACCAGCCAAGUCGCGUGAAGGAUGACGGCCCUACGGGUUGUAAACUUCUUUUGUCAGGGAGCAAUUGAGUCCACGUGUGGGCUUAGCGAGAGUACCUGAAGAAAAAGCAUCGGCUAACUCCGUGCCAGCAGCCGCGGUAAUACGUAGGUGGCAAGCGUUGUCCGGAAUUACUGGGUGUAAAGGGAGCGUAGGCGGGAAGCCAAGUCAGCUGUGAAAACUACGGGCUUAACCUGUAGACUGCAGUUGAAACUGGCUUUCUUGAGUGAAGUAGAGGUUGGCGGAAUUCCUAGUGUAGCGGUGAAAUGCGUAGAUAUUCGGAGGAACACCGGUGGCGAAGGCGGCCAACUGGGCUUUAACUGACGCUGAGGCUCGAAAGUGUGGGGAGCAAACAGGAUUAGAUACCCCAGUAGUC
This 461-nucleotide ribosomal RNA is filed under the name uncultured bacterium. RNAcentral describes it as "partial 16S ribosomal RNA". It matches the Rfam family "Bacterial small subunit ribosomal RNA", at positions 338 to 795 of the family's 1533-position model. The record is from RNAcentral.